GGAGAAAAGACUUGGAGAGCAAUGAAGCACCUCAGAAGAAAAAAAUUACGUGCAGAUGCAAGGCUGGAAGCUUUGCUAUGGAUGGCAGGAGGAGGUGUGCUCUGAGGUUUCCAGCAAUGAAAUCAGGAAGUGGGGUUGCUUGUAAGGUUGAGAAAGGCCAGCAGAAUAUUUUCUUGGCCUAAGUUGGAAUUGCAAGAUUGACAGUUUCAUCACAGUCCAGCAGAAGUGUCCCUGUAAAUAAUAGUUUGAGCAGGUGAACUGAGGGCAGCUGGGCUGGGUAACAGUGCCUCUGUUGGCCUCCCUAUUGAUCUGGAGAUGGGCAGGAAGCAAAUCCCUCAUGUUACCUGGCUUUUGCUCCAUUGGAUUUUACUCCAGCCUACCUGGGAGCUGAUCCUAUUUCCCUUGUUGACACGUGUGCUGCCAGUGCAGAGUAACUGAUGGCCACCUCAGCUCUCUAGAGGUUGAGAACAUGAGGAGAAAUAGGAUUCCUUACACUGUCUUCUCAUUGCUCAGCUCCUUUGUAAUGGCAUUUUCUCUCCUGGGUGAUAAAUCCAGCCUUAACUGCCAACCUUCCAUGGGAGGGGUCUCUUGCACAGGGAUGGGCUGAUCCUGAAAAACAACAACAGGGCAGCCGUGAUUUUCCUCACUCUACACUGUGGAAUUGUGUCCAGGGAAAUCCUUUGGCUGACUCAAACUUCUGAAUGUCUAAGUUCCCGAUUUGCACAGCUUUAAUUUCCCUUUCUGAGAUGGGACCCUUUAGGUUUGUUUUUAAUGAUUAAUUGAGGGCGUUGGGCAAGGUGUUUGCUCAGAGCAGUUUUCACCCUGUGCAAGGGGUGAACCUGUUUACUGGAUUUUUGCUCUUUUUCCCUCUCCAUUUUGUCUGUUUUAGAGUUGUGCUGCUUUUGGUGGCAGCUAAACCCACACGUGUACAGGAUUCUGCAUAUUUGGAGGGAGGUCUCAUAUCACUCACCUACGGAUAUUUUGUCAAUAACUUUUUAACGAAAUAUAUCGGACCCUGAAAGCUGCUUUGCUUGAGAGCAGUGUUCUGUCUCCCAUCUCAAUAUUUGCUUUUUGAAUUUUGCCCUCCCUCCUCAUUUCACUUUCCCUGAACCAUUUUGAUGGCCCAACAGAGCAACAAGUGUUGUUUGGUUGGUUUGGGUCUCCAGGCUGAACACCUCCAGCUCUCCCAGUCUGUCUUUCUGUGAGAGGAGCAAACAAGAACAGCAAAUCAGUGCCCAAAGGGGCUCCAACGAGCUGGAGAGGGACUUUGGACAAGGCCUGGAGGGACAAGACAAGGGGGAAGGGCUUCCCACUGCCAAAGGACAGGGAUAGGUGGGAUAUUGGGAAGAAAUUCUUCCCUGUGAGGCUGGUGUGGGGCUGGAAUGGAUCUCCC
Molecule: long non-coding RNA, 1393 nt
Organism: Corvus hawaiiensis (hawaiian crow)
Lineage: Eukaryota; Metazoa; Chordata; Aves; Passeriformes; Corvidae
Exons: 4
Source: RefSeq, a predicted model, not a curated record